RNAcentral lists this long non-coding RNA (760 nucleotides) under Apteryx owenii (little spotted kiwi). RNAcentral describes it as "lncRNA (ENSAOWG00000007587.1)". The record is from RNAcentral. Lineage: Eukaryota; Metazoa; Chordata; Aves; Apterygiformes; Apterygidae.
GAGCACAUGCUUGAUGUGGGUGGGCUGUGGUUUUGCAGGUGCAACCCGAGCGCUUGCUUUCUGUUUGUGUUUGCAGGUUUUGCAGGAAGUUGUGGAGAGGCACAGAUGAGCGUUGACAAGAGCCUGAGCAGGUGAGAGGGGGCGCUUGUCGGGUCCGAGGUUUCUUGUGCGGUGGGUAGCGCUGGGCUGCCUGUCGGUGAUGUCUCUCGCUCUGCUUUUCCAGGUACUGCGUGGGCCUUUCCCAGGCAUGGCUGAGGAUGUCAGGUGAGCAGAUUCCUGAUGGGUGUUGUGGGGUUGGUGAGUAUUGCCUGGCAGAAGAGUCACUUUGUUUUGCUUUUUCCCAGUGCUGCUGGUGUCCCCCCCAGGCACAAUGUUGGAGUCUGGGAUUGGUGCGGUGCAGGUGAUGAAGGUGAAUGUGGUGACCAGAGGAAGAUUAGAGAGGAUGCAGCUGCCAUUGAGGAUGCCUCUUGAAGACAGAUGGUGACCCAGAGCACUGUAGAAGCUAAAUGUGGCGCAGCAGUUGGAGUGCUUGAGGGAGGUGGAGGAAGAAAGGGUCAUGCCCUAGGAAGGUGAGCUAGAGAUUUGUUGCUGGAAGCAGAGUCUUGUGGUCAGCGGUUCCCUGGUUAAUUUUUGCUUUGUGCUUGUAGAUAUGGAGGAAUGUGGAGAGUGGGUCGUUCACAUGUGGGAGGAGCACGACAAGGUGAGCUUUGGUCUGAGUGCGGUAGCAGAGCCUAGCAUAGGGCUGUUGUCUCAUUGGUGC